RNAcentral lists this ribosomal RNA (253 nucleotides) under uncultured bacterium. Its description in RNAcentral is "partial 16S ribosomal RNA". It matches the Rfam family "Bacterial small subunit ribosomal RNA", at positions 524 to 776 of the family's 1533-position model. The record is from RNAcentral.
UACGUAGGGUGCAGGCGUUAAUCGGAAUUACUGGGCGUAAAGCGUGCGCAGGCGGUCUUUUAAGUCAGAUGUGAAAUCCCCGGGCUUAACCUGGGAACUGCACUUGUGACUGCACAGCUGGAGUACGGCAGAGGGGGAUGGAAUUCCGCGUGUAGCAGUGAAAUGCGUAGAUAUGCGGAGGAACACCGAUGGCGAAGGCAGUCCCCUGGGCCUGUACUGACGCUCAUGCACGAAAGCGUGGGGAGCAAACAGG